RNAcentral lists this ribosomal RNA (1000 nucleotides) under Lactiplantibacillus plantarum. Its description in RNAcentral is "bacterial SSU rRNA". It matches the Rfam family "Bacterial small subunit ribosomal RNA", at positions 71 to 1030 of the family's 1533-position model. The record is from RNAcentral. Lineage: Bacteria; Bacillati; Bacillota; Bacilli; Lactobacillales; Lactobacillaceae.
GAUUGGUGCUUGCAUCAUGAUUUACAUUUGAGUGAGUGGCGAACUGGUGAGUAACACGUGGGAAACCUGCCCAGAAGCGGGGGAUAACACCUGGAAACAGAUGCUAAUACCGCAUAACAACUUGGACCGCAUGGUCCGAGUUUGAAAGAUGGCUUCGGCUAUCACUUUUGGAUGGUCCCGCGGCGUAUUAGCUAGAUGGUGAGGUAACGGCUCACCAUGGCAAUGAUACGUAGCCGACCUGAGAGGGUAAUCGGCCACAUUGGGACUGAGACACGGCCCAAACUCCUACGGGAGGCAGCAGUAGGGAAUCUUCCACAAUGGACGAAAGUCUGAUGGAGCAACGCCGCGUGAGUGAAGAAGGGUUUCGGCUCGUAAAACUCUGUUGUUAAAGAAGAACAUAUCUGAGAGUAACUGUUCAGGUAUUGACGGUAUUUAACCAGAAAGCCACGGCUAACUACGUGCCAGCAGCCGCGGUAAUACGUAGGUGGCAAGCGUUGUCCGGAUUUAUUGGGCGUAAAGCGAGCGCAGGCGGUUUUUUAAGUCUGAUGUGAAAGCCUUCGGCUCAACCGAAGAAGUGCAUCGGAAACUGGGAAACUUGAGUGCAGAAGAGGACAGUGGAACUCCAUGUGUAGCGGUGAAAUGCGUAGAUAUAUGGAAGAACACCAGUGGCGAAGGCGGCUGUCUGGUCUGUAACUGACGCUGAGGCUCGAAAGUAUGGGUAGCAAACAGGAUUAGAUACCCUGGUAGUCCAUACCGUAAACGAUGAAUGCUAAGUGUUGGAGGGUUUCCGCCCUUCAGUGCUGCAGCUAACGCAUUAAGCAUUCCGCCUGGGGGAGUACGGCCGCAAAGGCUGAAACUCAAAAGGAAUUGACGGGGGGCCCGCACAAGCGGGUGAACCAUGUGGGUUUAAUUCCAAAGCUACCCCGAAGAACCUUACCAAGGUCUUUGACAUACUAUUGCAAAUCUUAAAAGAUUAAGACGUUCCCUUUCGGGGGACAUG